GUAAAUUCUAAAAUACAUCUCCUGAAUGCAACCCAAGCACUUUAAUUAAGCUAGCACCUCCUAAGCAAA
RNAcentral lists this transfer RNA (69 nucleotides) under Uroplatus ebenaui. Its description in RNAcentral is "tRNA-Ala". The record is from RNAcentral. Lineage: Eukaryota; Metazoa; Chordata; Lepidosauria; Squamata; Gekkonidae.